AAACCAAUCGGGUUCGCGCCCGUCAAUUGGUGACUCUGAAUAACUAUAGCUGAUCGCAUGGUCUUGAACCGGCGACGUGUCUAUCAAGUGUCUGCCUUAUCAACUUUCGAUGGUAGUUUAUGUGCCUACCAUGGUUGUAACGGGUAACGGAGAAUAAGGGUUCGACUCCGGAGAGGGAGCCUGAGAAACGGCUACCACAUCCAAGGAAGGCAGCAGGCGCGCAAAUUACCCACUCUCGGCAAGAGGAGGUAGUGACGAAAAAUAACGAGACCGUACUCUUUGAGGCCGGUUAUCGGAAUGGGUACAAUUUAAACCCGUUAACGAGGAUCUAUGAGAGGGCAAGUCUGGUGCCAGCAGCCGCGGUAAUUCCAGCUCUCAAAGUGUAUAUCGUCAUUGCUGCGGUUAAAAAGCUCGUAGUUGGAUCUGCGCCUCAGGACUUGGUCCGCCCACUGGGCGAGAACUAGGCUCCUGGGCUAGUUCUGCUGGUUUUCUCUACGUUGCCUUCAUCGGUCGCGUAGGGUGGCUAGCGAGUUUACUUUGAAAAAAUUAGAGUGCUUCACGCGAGCUUAUGUCUGAAUACUCGUGCAUGGAAUAAUAGAAUAGGAUCUCGGUUCUAUUUUGUUGGUUUUCUGAUCUGAGAUAAUGGUUAAGAGGGACGGACGGGGGCAUUCGUAUCGCUGCGUGAGAGGUGAAAUUCUUGGACCGUAGCGAGACGCCCGACUGCGAAAGCAUUUGCCAAGAAUGUCUUCAUUAAUCAAGAACGAAAGUCAGAGGUUCGA
Molecule: ribosomal RNA, 779 nt
Filed under: Contracaecum eudyptulae
Lineage: Eukaryota; Metazoa; Nematoda; Chromadorea; Rhabditida; Anisakidae
Description: SSU rRNA
Rfam family: Eukaryotic small subunit ribosomal RNA
Source: RNAcentral